RNAcentral lists this ribosomal RNA (433 nucleotides) under uncultured bacterium. RNAcentral's name for it is "partial 16S ribosomal RNA". It matches the Rfam family "Bacterial small subunit ribosomal RNA", at positions 29 to 507 of the family's 1533-position model. The record is from RNAcentral.
AACGAACGCUGGCGGCAGGCCUAACACAUGCAAGUCGAGCGAGGACUUCGGUUCUAGCGGCGGACGGGUGAGUAACGCGUGGGAAUGUGCCCUUCUCUACGGAAUAGCUCUGGGAAACUGGGAGUAAUACCGUAUACGCCCUUUUGGGGAAAGAUUUAUCGGAGAAGGAUCAGCCCGCGUUGGAUUAGGUAGUUGGUAGGGUAAUGGCCUACCAAGCCGACGAUCCAUAGCUGGUUUGAGAGGAUGAUCAGCCACACUGGGACUGAGACACGGCCCAGACUCCUACGGGAGGCAGCAGUGGGGAAUCUUAGACAAUGGGGGCAAUCCUGAUCUAGCCAUGCCGCGUGAGUGAUGAAGGCCUUAGGGUUGUAAAGCUCUUUCAGCUGGGAAGAUAAUGACGGUACCAGCAGAAGAAGCCCCGGCUAACUCCGUG